Molecule: ribosomal RNA, 207 nt
Filed under: uncultured bacterium
Lineage: Bacteria
Description: partial 16S ribosomal RNA
Rfam family: Bacterial small subunit ribosomal RNA
Source: RNAcentral
UACGUAGGCGGUUUAUUAAGUCAGAUGUGAAAGCCCCGGGCUUAACCUGGGAACUGCAUUUGAUACUGGUAAACUAGAGUAUGGUAGAGGGGGUAGAAUUCCUAGUGUAGCGGUGAAAUGCGUAGAUAUUAGGAGGAAUACCAGUGGCGAAGGCGGCCCCCUCGGACCAAUACUGACGCUGAGGUACGAAAGCGUGGGUAGCGAACA